GGUCACGCGUGUGCCUGAGAUCCUGGGCUGUCACACGCCGGACUUCCAUCAGGCGGCAAAAGUGCCUUCACGACAGCGUCUUUAACUGCACCGAGCAAACCAAGGUCAAAUAAAAGUGGGUCAGCAAAGAACACGACAGCCCCAGCCCAAUAAAGGAAACUUCCAUGGUGCGCUGUAGGCCCAAAGCUACGUCUCAGCCUCACAGGGGUCUGACUCCACUGCAUUUGGAGGACCUGCGUCCAAGAGACUGUUCCUUACCAGCUGUGCGACACUCAAUCGCAUCUUGUCUUCUGGAACCCAGACACGGGCUGGGUUCCGUGUGGAAGCUGCGGCACAGCCGUGAGCACCAUGCCUCCAAGGGCGCAUAAGAACACAGUCACCAGCCCAGGGUGCACACAAACCCCCAAGCACCGCUUGGCUCCAGAGAAGGAAAAGAGCACCGGUCGCAGCAUGCUGUGCCUGCCUCAGAGCUAAAGAAAAGGACUUUGGGCUCAUACUGGGAAAAGAAUGAGACGUGUUCCACUGGUGCGGUGUGAUCAAUGCCACGGAGGGAGAGGACACAGAAGGAAGGGCAGCAGGGAGCAGAGGUGGCCACGAUGCAGUUCAACCCAAGAAGGGGCUGGGGAAGGGCUCAGAGAAGGCCACGUGGAGCUGGUCCCAGAGGGAUAAUCGAUACCAAUGACGAAGACGAUGGCAGCAGGCGCUUACUGCGCACUCACUUAUGCUAAGCACGGGACAAAACACUCCACUUGCUUUAUUGUAAACUCAUUUACUCCUUUAUUAGUGAGCCGCUGCUAUCUUCCCGCCACCAUCUCACGCACUGGGGACACAGCAGUGAACAAAAUAAACACUGGUCUCUGCCCUCGCAGCCUACCUUCUAUUGAGAAGAGAGACGAUAAGCCAAGUAAGAAAGUAAACUGCAGAAUAUGUUAGAUGACGCUAAGAGCUAAGAGGAAAAAGAAAACAAAAGGGAAACAGGGAAACAUCUGGGGGGCAGUGGGCUGAAUGGUACGACUUUACACAGGGUGGCAUGUGAGAAAAGACCUGAAGAAGGGGAGUGACCACACCAUACAAAUAUCUGGGGGAAUAGCAUUCAAGGCAGAGGGAGCAGUCAGAGGAAAGAGCCCGAGCCCGAAGCCAGCUUGCCGUGUUUGCGGAACAGCAAGGACUCUGAUGUGGCUGAAGUGGGGCAAGAGGUGGGCAGGUGGGAUCAGUGCAUUCGGCCACAUGAGUCGUGCACUGCGUAACUCGGGGUCGGGGGGGACACCACCCACAUGCACUAGUGAGCUACGCACGACCCAGCCUGCUUGGUUACCCACCAGGCCCUGAGCUGGGAGAUGGGGUCAGAGAAGCACCAGGCAGCCCUGGGGGCCGUGCUGAGGAUUUGGUUUUUCCUUUGAGUGAGACAGGAAGCUACUGUCAAGAGGGUUCUGAGCCAGAGGCACGACUUGAUUGGACCCCGGCUCACUGGGUGACUGGGCAGAGCGCAUACAGAGCAGGGUAAGGGUGGAAAUAAAAGACCACUGCAGAGGCUACGGCAACGAUCACACUCAAGUACAUAUAGUGUUCCCCUCCCAAUCCCAUGAGGGAUUUCUGCGCUCACUCUUGCAUAGAUGAAGACAUUGAGGCUCAGGAGAGAUCUGGUAACUUGCCCAAGGUCACUGGGUUAGGCAGUAGCAGAACCACCGGGAUUGGGAAGCAGGGGAAGAGAACGUUCUAGGUGGAGUGAACAGCACCAGCCGUGGAGCAGGAGCUUGGCAGGGCCUGCCACACUUAGGGAAGGGGAGGCUCAUGGUCCAGGGGAUCCAGAGCCCGAGGGAAAUCGACAAUGGCAGCCAGCGAAGGCCUGUCUGUUCCCUGUCUGCUCACACAGAUGCCUACCAGUGGCAUCCAAGCCCAUCUGGCUCCCUGGACCAGAACAAGCACCUCCUAACCCAGCUCCCUGCUCCAUGCUUAUCCCUCCCACUUCAGUCCAUGGGCAGCCAGAAGAACCUUUAGAAAACAUGAAUCACUUAUUGUCUUCGUGCUCUCAAUGCUCCAGUGGCUUCCCAUCAUACCAGGCACACGGGGGACCCUCAGAUGACAUUGAAUGAAUAGAUGACUCCCUCAUCCCUGCCGCCUCACUCAGGCACGUCCUGUUUCAAACCAGCGGAAAGGAUGACUUCUUCCUUCCCUCCUUAGCAGAGGGAGGCAAACUCAUGCUGAGGAGUGCAGGGGUGCCGGUCAGCCAGAAGUCCAGGCAGACGUCCUUGGUCUGCCUGGACCAAGCCAGGCCACCAUAUUAACCAGCUGAAACCCAUGAGGAGGGAGGGGAGCCAUUCAGACCACCUAAGACGCAACUUUUGGAGCCAACUUGUUUUAAACAAAACUGCUUAUUCCAAAGCAGACUGGACACUCUCCACCACGCUACGGCCAAGUAAAGGAGGCCUACACACGGCCCGGGCCAUGAUGACUGUAAGAGGCACACUCCACCCAGCAGCCUUGGCCCUGAGGCCGGCCAUGAAAGGCUUUCCUCACCGAGUCGCUGUAUUUAAGGGUGGACCCAAUGACUGAAGCCCUCCCUGAACACAGGGAACCCCAAAGUUGUCUCAGAAACUGAGGGAAAACUAUGAAACUAAGGUUGGGACAAAACUUGACAAAUUUCAGUCGGUCGAUAUUUGGGACCAAGGAGUAGAUUUCCCAAAGGAUGACGACCACUCCCGGGGUGUAAAUCCAGGCCCUCUCGGGGCCACACUCAUUCCAAAGCCCUUUGUUCUCCAUAGAAAAAGAUACACACACAUCCUUACACGUGCAUAUAUGCAGAUAUAUUUUUAAAGAAUUGGUAACAACACAGAACGGAUGAGACUAGUAAGAGACUAGUAAACAAGACCCCCCUCCCACAAGAAAAUUAACUGAGUAACAAAGGGCCUUCCUGUAGGCCCUGAUAGGAGAGUUAAAUGAUCACCGUGGGCAUGACUUAUCCUCUGGGUGGCAGAGAAGUGAGGGGGGGCUCUGGAAGCCAAGUGAGUCCCAGACUCCUUCAGGAGGCAGGUAACUUGGUUUCCCAUACUGCAUCAAGCCAGUGUGAGGCAAGUUCAAAGGCCUUGUUCUCUGAACAGGAAGACGGGAGAAGAAGGGUCAGAAAACACAGACAUUAAUAAGGGCUGUAGAAGGAAGGGUGCGGAGUCUUCAUGGGAGGCAGGGUCCUGUCUGUCCUGGUUUUUCAGAAAGAUGGGGCACAAAGAACAGGACCAAUGGCUGAGCCCUCGAUCUGACAGAGAAGUGUAAUAGAAAAGAAGACUCGACAAGGAAGCUCACAUCUCCCCAACUUCCAGCUUUUCUGGGCAGCCAAAAGCCAAGCCGACAGUGAUGCUCAAAGAUCCUGUAAGUGUCAGUGAUCAAGAGUUUCAGGACGGGCAAUGGCACAGUAAACUACCCUGAACACAUGCAAGACCAGACCUGGAGAACAGGGUGUCAGGGAGGGGGUUACUAUAACUAAAACGGCAACAACAAAAUAGAAGACCCUGUCCCUGAAAGGAUCAGUCCAAUAUCCUGCUAGAAGGACACGGAGAGGCUGGGCCUCGUUACAAGUUGUAAAUAAGAGAGAAAACACAAGCUUGGCCAUGGAAAAAGCUGCAGCGGGCACUGAUUGGGACUUCUUUGUGCAAACUGGCUCUUCGCUCUUCAGAAAAGAAGGAUGUGCCCCCGGGGUAUGCCUUGGCUUUUGCUCUCUCCACCUGUA
Molecule: long non-coding RNA, 3721 nt
Organism: Felis catus (domestic cat)
Lineage: Eukaryota; Metazoa; Chordata; Mammalia; Carnivora; Felidae
Exons: 4
Source: RefSeq, a predicted model, not a curated record